AGUGAACGCUGGCGGUAGGCCUAACACAUGCAAGUCGAACGGCAGCACAGUAAGAGCUUGCUCUUACGGGUGGCGAGUGGCGGACGGGUGAGGAAUACAUCGGAAUCUACUUUUUCGUGGGGGAUAACGUAGGGAAACUUACGCUAAUACCGCAUACGACCUACGGGUGAAAGCAGGGGAUCUUCGGACCUUGCGCGAUUGAAUGAGCCGAUGUCGGAUUAGCUAGUUGGCGGGGUAAAGGCCCACCAAGGCGACGAUCCGUAGCUGGUCUGAGAGGAUGAACAGCCACACUGGAACUGAGACACGGUCCAGACUCCUACGGGAGGCAGCAGUCGGGAAUAUUGGACAAUGGGCGCAAGCCUGAUCCAGCCAUACCGCGUGGGUGAAGAAGGCCUUCGGGUUGUAAAGCCCUUUUGUUGGGAAAGAAAAGCAGCAGGUUAAUACCCCGCUGUUCUGACGGUACCCAAAGAAUAAGCACCGGCUAACUUCGUG
This 492-nucleotide ribosomal RNA is filed under the name uncultured bacterium. RNAcentral's name for it is "partial 16S ribosomal RNA". It matches the Rfam family "Bacterial small subunit ribosomal RNA", at positions 29 to 507 of the family's 1533-position model. The record is from RNAcentral.